This 598-nucleotide long non-coding RNA is filed under the name Stegodyphus dumicola. Its description in RNAcentral is "uncharacterized LOC118197517". The record is from RNAcentral. Lineage: Eukaryota; Metazoa; Arthropoda; Arachnida; Araneae; Eresidae.
GUUAGCUUUAAAAAAAAAAUGUGGAUAUUGUCUUUAAAUAUGAUUAAAAAAAUGGCAUAACAUUUGCAUCAUAUUCAAAUAUCACACGAAAUAAUUUUAAAAAAGUUUCCCUUUAUUUAAUUAACAGGGCAUAACAUGAAAUCAUUCACAAAUAUUCAAACGUGAUGAAAUCGUUCAUCACCUUAUUUGUGACGGAAUAAAACAAAAUGCAGUAAACUCUCUAGUUGCGUCCAUCUCUGAAAAGAACAAAAUAUUUCUAAGACUAAUAUCGGUACUGAAAAUCACUUUCGCACAAGAUCGAAAUCAUAUGGAACCUUGAGAAGUAGAGAGGAUCACCUCAAAAACAGUAUUGUCAGUGUAUGGUGUCUAAAACACAGGACUAGUCACCUGGUGAAGUACAGGUGACAUAAUUUUUAGAAUUCAGGAAGUUACUUGAUGGCAAAAUCUUGAAGAUAUAUAGAUUACAUUGGGAAGCCAGUCAGAACGUUCUCUUCCUUUUUUAAACCUCUUGCUACUGAACAAGGACCAAAAUUCUUAUGCAUAUAUGACAUGUUCUUGUAUUGCCUUCUUUAUAGAACUUAAUAAAUUUUAAAACAAA